UUAUUUUUAUUCUUAGACGUAUAUAAUUAAUAAUUGUAUAUGCGAGAUUAUGUUUUGUUUAAGUUGACAUCAAAUAAGUUUUAAACAAAUAAAAUGUGAAAGUCAAUAAAUUGACGUCAAAUAAGAUUUAUAAUUAAAAUAAUUUCAAAUAAGUAUAUAUCACACAAUUAAUCAAACAAAUUACUGAAAUUUAUUAAAAAUUUAUAAAAAAUAGAUUAAAAAAAUAAAAAAAAUAAAAUUGCAUAAUAUCUUAUAUAACUUUCAUAUUUAAUAUAAAUAAAAAUAAUUUAAUUAUAUGUUUUCAAAUACACUAAAAUAUAAAACACUACUUAUCAAAAAUGUUAAAACAUAUUUAUUUUGUAAAUUAGAUUUUGUCAAAAAUAUUAUUAGGCUUUUAAAACGUUGUUUAAAUAUAAUUUUAGUUAAAUUACGGCCAAAUCGGUCAUCUUUUAAUUGAUGAAAUAAGUUAUUUAAACGGUCUCUCACAUGAAAAUCAGUUAUUGGAUGAAUGAAACUAAACUCGUGAUGUUAACCACAUAACAUCAUUAUUGGAUCCGCAAGAUGUGAAAAUUAUUCAAAGUAUUCCUAUCAGUAGAUCUCAUCUAGAAG
Molecule: long non-coding RNA, 609 nt
Filed under: Brassica rapa (field mustard)
Lineage: Eukaryota; Viridiplantae; Streptophyta; Magnoliopsida; Brassicales; Brassicaceae
Description: long non-coding RNA (BRAP_LNC003800)
Source: RNAcentral